AAUGAACGCUGGCGGCAGGCCUAACACAUGCAAGUCGAACGGAUCCUUCGGGAUUAGUGGCGGACGGGUGAGUAACGCGUGGGAACAUACCCUUUGGUACGGAAUAGCCUCGGGAAACUGGGAGUAAUACCGUAUGUGGUCGAGAGACGAAAGAUUUAUCGCCAAAGGAUUGGCCCGAGUUGGAUUAGGUAGUUGGUGGGGUAAUGGCCUACCAAGCCGACGAUCCAUAGCUGGUUUGAGAGGAUGAUCAGCCACACUGGGACUGAGGCACGGCCCAGACUCCUACGGGAGGCAGCAGUGGGGAAUCUUAGACAAUGGGGGAAACCCUGAUCUAGCCAUGCCGCGUGAUCGAUGAAGGCCUUAGGGUUGUAAAGAUCUUUCAGGUGGGAAGAUAAUGACUGUACCACCAGAAGAAGCCCCGGCUAACUCCGUGCCAGCAGCCGCCGUAA
RNAcentral lists this ribosomal RNA (449 nucleotides) under uncultured bacterium. Its description in RNAcentral is "partial 16S ribosomal RNA". It matches the Rfam family "Bacterial small subunit ribosomal RNA", at positions 29 to 523 of the family's 1533-position model. The record is from RNAcentral.